UCACAAGUGGAGCAGAGGCAGGAGAGAAAGAAAGAGAGAAUCCCAAACAGGCCCAAGCAAGCUUCUUGCCAAGCUGGAUCUCACGAAGUGUCAGAUCAUGACCUGAGCCCAAAUCAGGCAGCCUGGUAAAUUAUCCUUUGGUGAUAACUGUUAUAACAUGAAUGUGGUAUUAUAAGUACCUUAGAGCAAGGAGCCUUAAUGGAGAUCAAGGCUAAAACUUGCACAUACUUCAAGAUCAAGGACUGAUGAAAAAGUACAAGAUAGAAGACAGGAGAAUUGACCAAACUGUAGUUCAGGGUCCAGAGGGCACAGGAAAAGCUCCAUUUUAAUAUGGUAUUAAUUGGGGCAACCUCCAGGUAGACAGAGCACAGUAGACAAGAAUUUAGAUAGAAUUAUCUUUCAGAACACUGGGAAUGGGGACUAGUAAAUGUCUUUUCACAGCAGAAAUCCUGCAGAAAAGGAGGGUCUGUUCAUGUUCUUACUCUGUGAAUGAAACUAAAAGGCCAGCUAGGUCAACUGAUCAGGAUUUCAGAGAGGAAUCCUUGGCAGAAUCUAAGUCCAGAUGACUAGGUCGUAUUACUCUGCAUGAGCUGUCUUUGAUCUGGGAACUACAUAGACACCAAGGUUCCAUCCCAUGCGCAAAUGUGAUAGCAAGACUAUUAAGGUGCUUGUAUGCCACUGUCCUUGUCACUGGGCUACCAAGUCCCAGGUUUACAAAGUGAACCAAUUCUGAGCCCAUUUUAAUGGUUGCACAGAACUGACAUCAAUCCUUGCUCCACAUUUUACUAGCCGAGCAACUUUGGAAAUGCCUCUUAUUAAAUCCCUGAUGGCUUGCUUUCACAAUAUAGCCUGACUUUGAGUCGGCUCCUAAAAUGAGACACAACUGUUAAACUGAACUGACCGAUUUCUCAAGACUGAGACUGCUUCAGUGAGAUAUGGAGCAAUCUGUCAACUUAGCUUCUGGAUUGUGAAACUUCUUAUUUGAAAUUCCAAAGGAGGAACUGAAAGGGAGCAGCUUUUGCCACCUCAAAAUAUGUCUCUUUGGCGUAUUGAUUAUUUUAAACUGGUAAGUUUUUAAGAAAUAGCAGACAUUGGUGAGUAAAAGCUACUCUUUUGAUAAGAUAAAUCUCCAUGUAUAAGAAUGUCUCUAAUACUGUACCCGGAAGAGGGGGAUGACCAAGUAAAUCUCUGGAAACUCUCGUCAACAAAGAAGGCUAGGAAUUAAAUCUGUAUAACAAUAUUAUCCUUAUUUAUUGUGCUUUUCCUGGUAAUCUCCCAUAACUGACUCCCAUCCCCAACGUUAUUUUUUGUCUGUGAUGAAGUAAGGUGAUGGCUUUGGC
This is a long non-coding RNA of Leopardus geoffroyi (Geoffroy's cat), 1340 nucleotides long. RefSeq lists it as uncharacterized. The transcript has 3 exons. Lineage: Eukaryota; Metazoa; Chordata; Mammalia; Carnivora; Felidae. The record is from RefSeq and is a predicted model, not a curated record.